GUGCCAAACUCACUUUAGCAGCACAGAUACUAAAUUUGGAAGUAUACAGAGAAGAUAAGCAUGUCCCCUGUGCAAAGAUGACAUGCAAAUUCAUGAAGUACUCCAUAUUUUA
Molecule: small nuclear RNA, 112 nt
Filed under: Peromyscus maniculatus bairdii (prairie deer mouse)
Lineage: Eukaryota; Metazoa; Chordata; Mammalia; Rodentia; Cricetidae
Source: RNAcentral